AGUACAUUGUUUGGGUUCUAAAGGAUCCAGAUCGUCGCGGACCGAGAAGCUUGACUGCCUCUGCUCCCGAAUGGGCCGCGCGCAUCUGUCUGAAGCCCCAGUCCUCUGAACGGCAGAGAAGGAAAUGCUGGGUGGAGGGUUCCCACUCACGCAUGCCCUUCCGCGCCUCUCGCCCACUGGGGCUGGGCUUGGAUUUUGCAACCAUUUCCAUCACCGCUGCUGUACUUGGCGCAGCCCUGCUGGAAACCGGCAGGGUGUGCGCCGGCGCCCGGGAGACCUUGCCGUGCAGCGUACUCGCAGCCCCGCCCGCGGUGCCCAGUCUGGGGGAGCCGCGCUAACCCCCGCCCCGCCGCCAGGAACCCCUCCCCGGGGCCACGCUCGAGCUAUCCGGCGCUGCGUCUGCGCUGGGGACGGCUCCGCCCAGUUCUGCAGCCAGGGGUCCGGCGUUCUGGCCAGACCAGUGGUCCGAAUGUGAGAAGACUUAGGGCUCCGCCGCUCUCUCGGGCUGUUCCCCGAAGUGGUUCUGGGAGCCUAGAGGCAUAGGGGCUUAAGGAAGGAAGGGACAGGGCCAGGGAGGGCGGGAGCGAGAAGGAGGAGAGGGCAGGUCAGCGGAACUGGGAUGGGGCGCAGCCCAGCGGCGGGCACGGCCGGAGGAGAGAGAGGGCGCUGUCUUCCUGGCAAAGGAUCCCUGGCUUGGCCGGCAGGAACCGAAACAAAAAAAAAAGAAGAAGAAGAAGAAAGAAAGAAAGCACAGGAAAGGAAAUCUGCCUGGUCGACCCGGGGCGGAGGAGGGUGGGGGGUGAGGGACGCACUGUGGGGAGGGCCAAGGGUGGCCGAGCGGAUUCUCAGCCCACAGCCCAGCAACCGCUUCUUCUGCUGCGGCCUUGCUAGCGCCGCGUGGCCCCGAGCGAGACUCUUCUUUGGCCCUAAAGGGCCCCCCACAGUUGGCUUCCCUCCCUCGCUUUCUCCUCUGGAAAACUGGAGGCGUCGGUAUAAGGUCUGCGACGCUUCACUGGCGAUUGAGGUGCCGCGACGUGGCCAAGGAGCCCGCGGAAGAAAACCGCAACGCCAACCAGGCCUUCACGUCGAAGCGCCGCAGCAAAUGGCCUCACCUGGUUUGGCUGCGUCUUGCCGAGGAACAAGGAGGAGGUGGAAGGCCCUCUUUCUUUCAUCGACUGACCUGGGCGCACACUCUGGAAACCAAAGGGUCCCAAGGACAAUUACUGUCAGACAUUCCCCCACUCAAAUCCAGGAAACUUAGUUUACACUACUUCAGGAGAAAUGCCUGUAUCAUCUACAAAGGAUGUGUUGUCUUUCCAUGCGCAUAACAAACCAGUUGAAGCAAAACAAAGGAUCUCAAACUUACGUAUCUUCAGUCUUGAAAGGUCCCUCUGUGUUAAUGGAUGUAAUUAAAGGCCUUCUAGGUUUGCUGAUAGAUACUAGAACCGAUCAUCUCACAUGUCCGCCAUCGGAGAGUCCCAAGCUCCAGUCUCCACGUGAAUUUCCGGACUCUUCCAUAGCCCUUCCGGUAGAAUCCAGGUGGCCCCAUAGUUCUGCCUUUAGCAGGAGAGCUAUUUCCUAGGAGUAACUGGGUGGGCUGCAAUCCGCCUGCCUCUUCACGUUGAGAAACGCUUCUCUUGUGGGAACGUCUGUUUCUAUUCAUCCGAUUUUCUAAUGUCUUUGAUCAGCCUAAAUAUUUUCUUGGCAAACGGAAAUUGACCAUGCCAUGAAUAUGAUAACAACCUGCUUGGAAAGAAGCUAUUUUGUUUCGAAGCAGCAAGGGGGAGUGGGGGGCCGGGAAGCCAGGGAAGGGAGUAGGGGUCGGGUAACUAGCUGGCUGGUAAGAAUGCCUGAAAUAGAUUCCUGAACAUACAUCUUUUUGCAGUCUCUGAAGCAGCUUUUUGAAAGAUAGUCAGAUAAACACACACCUGGGCUCCUAAAAGUCUUUGAUACACUUUAUAUUUAAAAAAACAGAACUUCAAUGGACGCCUCUGGAGAAUUUCCCUUUAAAACAUAGAUGAAAGGCAAGGUUAAUACAAUGUUCUCUUAAUCCCUUUGGCUUGUGAGUCAAAAUAAAUAUUUUCUUCUGCAUGUUAUUGUACA
Molecule: long non-coding RNA, 2103 nt
Organism: Bos indicus x Bos taurus (hybrid cattle)
Lineage: Eukaryota; Metazoa; Chordata; Mammalia; Artiodactyla; Bovidae
Source: Ensembl